AAAAUAUAUGUUAAGUGGAAAAGGAUGUGGCGUUGCCCAGACAACUAGGAUGUUGGCUUAGAAGCAGCCAUCAUUUAAAGAGUGCGUAAUAGCUCACUAGUCGAGUGACACUGCGCCGAAAAUGUACCGGGGCUAAACAUAUUACCGAAGCUGUGGAUUGUCCUUUGGACAAUGGUAGGAGAGCGUUCUAAGGGCGUUGAAGCAUGAUCGUAAGGACAUGUGGAGCGCUUAGAAGUGAGAAUGCCGGUGUGAGUAGCGAAAGACGGGUGAGAAUCCCGUCCACCGAUUGACUAAGGUUUCCAGAGGAAGGCUCGUCCGCUCUGGGUUAGUCGGGUCCUAAGCUGAGGCCGACAGGCGUAGGCGAUGGAUAACAGGUUGAUAUUCCUGUACCACCUAUAAUCGUUUUAAUCGAUGGGGGGACGCAGUAGGAUAGGCGAAGCGUGCGAUUGGAUUGCACGUCUAAGCAGUAAGGCUGAGUAUUAGGCAAAUCCGGUACUCGUUAAGGCUGAGCUGUGAUGGGGAGAAGACAUUGAGUCUUCGAGUCGUUGAUUUCACACUGCCGAGAAAAGCCUCUAGAUAGAAAAUAGGUGCCCGUACCGCAAACCGACACAGGUAGUCAAGAUGAGAAUUCUAAGGUGAGCGAGCGAACUCUCGUUAAGGAACUCGGCAAAAUGACCCCGUAACUUCGGGAGAAGGGGUGCUCUUUAGGGUUAACGCCCAGAAGAGCCGCAGUGAAUAGGCCCAAGCGACUGUUUAUCAAAAACACAGGUCUCUGCUAAACCGUAAGGUGAUGUAUAGGGGCUGACGCCUGCCCGGUGCUGGAAGGUUAAGAGGAGUGGUUAGCUUCUGCGAAGCUACGAAUCGAAGCCCCAGUAAACGGCGGCCGUAACUAUAACGGUCCUAAGGUAGCGAAAUUCCUUGUCGGGUAAGUUCCGACCCGCACGAAAGGCGUAACGAUUUGGGCACUGUCUCAACGAGAGACUCGGUGAAAUCAUAGUACCUGUGAAGAUGCAGGUUACCCGCGACAGGACGGAAAGACCCCGUGGAGCUUUACUGUAGCCUGAUAUUGAAAUUCGGCACAGCUUGUACAGGAUAGGUAGGAGCCUUUGAAACGUGAGCGCUAGCUUACGUGGAGGCGCUGGUGGGAUACUACCCUAGCUGUGUUGGCUUUCUAACCCGCACCACUUAUCGUGGUGGGAGACAGUGUCAAGCGGGCAGUUUGACUGGGGCGGUCGCCUCCUAAAAGGUAACGGAGGCGCUCAAAGGUUCCCUCAGAAUGGUUGGAAAUCAUUCAUAGAGUGUAAAGGCAUAAGGGAGCUUGACUGCGAGACCUACAAGUCGAGCAGGGUCGAAAGACGGACUUAGUGAUCCGGUGGUUCCGCAUGGAAGGGCCAUCGCUCAACGGAUAAAAGCUACCCCGGGGAUAACAGGCUUAUCUCCCCCAAGAGUUCACAUCGACGGGGAGGUUUGGCACCUCGAUGUCGGCUCAUCGCAUCCUGGGGCUGUAGUCGGUCCCAAGGGUUGGGCUGUUCGCCCAUUAAAGCGGUACGCGAGCUGGGUUCAGAACGUCGUGAGACAGUUCGGUCCCUAUCCGUCGUGGGCGUAGGAAAUUUGAGAGGAGCUGUCCUUAGUACGAGAGGACCGGGAUGGACAUACCUCUGGUGUACCAGUUGUCGUGCCAACGGCAUAGCUGGGUAGCUAUGUGUGGACGGGAUAAGUGCUGAAAGCAUCUAAGCAUGAAGCCCCCCUCAAGAUGAGAUUUCCCAACUUCGGUUAUAAGAUCCCUCAAAGAUGAUGAGGUUAAUAGGUUCGAGGUGGAAGCAUGGUGACAUGUGGAGCUGACGAAUACUAAUCGAUCGAAGACUUAAUCAAAA
Molecule: ribosomal RNA, 1874 nt
Filed under: Staphylococcus aureus
Lineage: Bacteria; Bacillati; Bacillota; Bacilli; Caryophanales; Staphylococcaceae
Description: partial 23S ribosomal RNA
Rfam family: Bacterial large subunit ribosomal RNA
Source: RNAcentral